Long non-coding RNA from Antechinus flavipes (yellow-footed antechinus), 1933 nucleotides. RefSeq lists it as uncharacterized. The transcript has 3 exons. The record is from RefSeq and is a predicted model, not a curated record. Lineage: Eukaryota; Metazoa; Chordata; Mammalia; Dasyuromorphia; Dasyuridae.
AUAGUUAAAUACACAUACACACACACACACAUAUAUAUUCAUCCAUUUCACUUAGAUUGUCAGAUUUAUUGGCACAUGAUUGGGCAAAAUAGGUCCUUAUAUUUAAUUAAAUUUCAUCUUUAUUGGUGGAAAAUUUAUCCUUUUUUUUUUUUUUUUUUUUUUUUUUACUUUUGAUACUGGCAUUUAAAAAAAAUCAAAUUAACUAAUGUCUUAUCUGUCUUACUUCAAUGGUUUUCUUACUUUCACUUUUCUUUAUCUCUCCUUUGAUUUUCAGGAUUUCCAAAUUAAUAUUCAUUUGGGGAUUUUUAAAUUUAUUCUUUAUCUAGGUUUGUUUGUUUUGUGUUCAUUAACUACAUGCCCAGUUUAUUGAUAUACUCUAUAAUUCUUUUUUUUUUUUUUUUGGGGGGGGGGAAGCAGUAGAUAGAAAGUUUAGUCUGGAGUCCAAAGAUCUGAGUUGAAUUUCACUUUCAGUCACUUACUACCUAUAUAAACCUGAACAUAAUACUUAACUUCUCAGGUUUCUUAACUUUAAAACAGAGAUAAUAACUACAUCUACAUCUUAGGAUGGCUAUGAGGAUCAUAGGCGACAUUAUUUAUAAAGUGCUAAGCGAAGCACUUGACACAUGGAAGCACAUAUUAAGUCCUUGUUCCCUACAUCCUUUCUUCUUUUCCUCUUCUCAGCCUUGUGAAAUCUGGCUUCUAAUCUUACAUAAAAUUAAAAUAUUCACUACAAGUUUAGCAAUAAUCUGUAAGGUGCUAAAUUGAAUGUUUUACUCAUUCCUCUGUAGCUUUAGGCACUAUUGAUCACCUUUUGGUCCUCCCCUCACCUGGGAUUUUGACACCAAAUUAUUUUUUUUCUUCCUGUUUUACCACUCCUUUUCAGUCAUUCUCAUUUUCUGGAUCGUUAUCCAUGCCUUGCUUCCUAAACACUGGCAUCCACCAAGGCUCCAGCAUGUGAUUUGUCCUUUUCUUUUUCUAUAGCUUCUCUCUUCAUGAUGUCCUCAGCUUCCACAGAUUUUGUUAGCACCUUUACAAAGAUGUAUCUGCUGAACUCCAGUCCUACAUCAACUGUCUUUGCAGCAUCACCUGUUCCUGAGAAUUGCAAGACUCCAUAUGAGGCAACUAGAGGCUGUUUUAAAGAGAGCUCCAGCUGGAGGCGAGACCCAGAGGAAAAAUAAAGCCUUCGGCUAAAGACUUCAUCUCUUGACUUUGAAGACUGGCUUUCUUAUUUCUUAUCUUCAAGUAUCCAUUGUGGCUUUAAUCAUAGGCAGCAUUUAUAUAGGUAGUAUUUCAAGAUUUGCGACCCACUUUACUUAUAUUAUCUCAUUUGAUCCUUAGAGCAAACUUCUGAGCUAGGUGCUAUUAUUAGCAUCAUUUUAGAGAUAAGAAAACUGAACCGAGAGAGGUGCAUGAAUUGCCCAUGAUUAUUCAGCUAGUUAGCAUCAGAAGCAGGUUUUGAACUUACAUCUUUCCAAUUUCUAGACCAGCACUGUCUGCUGGACUGUCUACAGGAUAUAUGUAAACAGGAUUUUUCUUUACAAAACACUUUUCCUUUGCAGAGACUUUCUAAUAGACACCAUAUCUAAGGAAGUAUCUUUGUUAUCAUCUCCAUUUGGCAGGAAGAAAUUGAGAUUUGACAUCAAAUGUCACACAAAGGGAAGUUGAAAGGAGGCUCAAGCCAGCAGAAGCAAUGGCAACAAAAAUCCAUGCUGGUCAGGAUAGAAGGACCUGUCUUUUUCGGGGAAAUCCUGGGCCCUCAGUCAGAAAGAUUACAUCCACUCAUUUGACUCCAACUCAACAACUCUCUUCUUAAAAACAAACAAACAAACAAAAAACCCAAAAAUUAUCAUUUCCAUUCUCCAAAUAAAAAUAAAAUGAAACAAAAACAAGAUUUGUCCUGUUUGAAAUACCCAUCUUCUCCCCAAACACACAC